RNAcentral lists this non-coding RNA (41 nucleotides) under Schistosoma mattheei. The record is from RNAcentral. Lineage: Eukaryota; Metazoa; Platyhelminthes; Trematoda; Strigeidida; Schistosomatidae.
AUUCAGUUGACGAGUCCUGGGACGAAACACGCGUCCUGGAU